GUACGGAAGGCAGCAGUGAGGAAUUUUGGACAAUGGGCGAAAGCCUGAUCCAGCAAUGCCGCGUGCAGGACGAAGGCCUUCGGGUUGUAAACUGCUUUUGUACGGAGCGAAAAGGCUUCCACUAAUACUGGAGGCUCAUGACGGUACCGUAAGAAUAAGCACCGGCUAACUACGUGCCAGCAGCCGCGGUAAUACGUAGGGUGCAAGCGUUAAUCGGAAUUACUGGGCGUAAAGCGUCCGCAGGCGGUUCUAUAAGACAGAUGUGAAAUCCCCGGGCUCAACCUGGGAACUGCAUUUGUGACUGUAGAGCUAGAGUACGGCAGAGGGGGAUGGAAUUCCGCGUGUAGCAGUGAAAUGCGUAGAUAUGCGGAGGAACACCGAUGGCGAAGGCGAUCCCCUGGGCCUGUACUGACGCUCAUGGACGAAAGCGUGGGGAGCAAACAGGAUUAGAUACCCGUGUAGUCA
Molecule: ribosomal RNA, 465 nt
Filed under: uncultured bacterium
Lineage: Bacteria
Description: bacterial SSU rRNA
Rfam family: Bacterial small subunit ribosomal RNA
Source: RNAcentral